This 446-nucleotide ribosomal RNA is filed under the name uncultured bacterium. RNAcentral describes it as "bacterial SSU rRNA". It matches the Rfam family "Bacterial small subunit ribosomal RNA", at positions 329 to 792 of the family's 1533-position model. The record is from RNAcentral.
UACCAGACUCCUACGGGAGGCAGCAGUGGGGAAUAUUGCACAAUGGGGGAAACCCUGAUGCAGCGACGCCGCGUGAGUGAAGAAGUAUUUCGGUAUGUAAAGCUCUCUCAGCAGGGAAGAAAAUGACGGUACCUGAUUAAGAAGCCCCGGCUAACUACGUGCCAGCAGCCGCGGUAAUACGUAGGGGGCAAGCGUUAUCCGGAUUUACUGGGUGUAAAGGGAGCGUAGACGGUUAUGUAAGUCUGGAGUGAAAGGCCGGGGCCCAACCCCGGGACUGCUUUGGAAACUGUGUAACUGGAGUACAGGAGGGGCAGGCGGAAUUCCUGGUGUAGCGGUGAAAUGCGUAGAUAUCAGGAGGAACACCGGCGGCGAAGGCGGCCUGCUGGACUGAAACUGACGUUGAGGCUCGAAAGCGUGGGGAGCAAACAGGAUUAGAUACCCCUGUA